CAAGGGCAUUAGGGGACCAUGAGGUAAAGGCUCAGAACACUGAGGAGCAGGUCCAUCUACUCCCCCACAGCUCAGCUCCUGAUCCAUAACAUGGGGCUCUUCCCUUGGGAUGGGUAUUCAUGCGGUACGCUUACAGGCUGCAAGACACUCAGCAACUUUGAGGAUCAGGGACAUACAAUGUAAACAUCUGCAGCUCUCCCUUUACAAUCAGGGAAAAGAAGUGGCCAGCUGAGGGCAGGAUUCAUCCAGCCUAGUUGAGAUGCCUAUUUCAGGAAGAGCUGCAUUGUUAUUUCCGUCCACUGAGCAUCAAAGAGGAGCAGCUCCAAUGUGAGUAUCUCAGUGGUUUAGGAGAGUCCAUCUCCCCCCUCCCCAAACGGGAAGCGAUGCUUCAGUGGGACCUUUUCUUUUUUUAGCUAAAUACCUAUUAACAAUUACCAAAAGUUGACUAUACCCAAGUACUAAGGCAUUUGUGGAAGUGGACAGGUGAAAUAUUUACCAUUGCUCAUUCUUUGUGUGAGAAAGAGGAAGCUCUUUAUGCCCAGUAUCUAGCACUUCAUUUCUACAUUUGUCACAUUCAGUGGGGAUUGCUGGGGUAAAGCAGAAGUAGGAGUCUUGGUUUUCUCAUAACACAUAUAAGUUUGGGUAUACCAGAAAAGCAAUCAAAUUUGGAAGAGCCUGUUCAGUCCUGCAGGAAGGAGGGGUAUAGGAAGCACAUCAUAACUGACCCAUCUUUGACAUUUCACCCAACAACAUACACAAUGCAUUUUCAUGGGAACGUUACAAAGUCAACCACUAAAUGGAAAUGUUUUGUCUUAAAGUGCAGAAGAGCUAUGAAAUUCUCUCUGGGGAAUCUGUCUGCUCAUAGCUGCUUUGGGCUGUUUAAGGCACACUCUUCUAGAAAAGAAUAACAUUCUUUUUCAGGGCAAUACAAAUUAUAAUGAGAGAAAUAAACAAAAAUGAAAUGCAAUUUUUUUUUUUUUUUUUUGGACUGGGGAUUUCUUCUUCCAGUCAUUCUCCAUUGCAGAAUAUUCUUUAUGUCCUUCAUCAGUCUUGUACUUGGUUACAGAUGGAAAAUAUUAGCUCUGGUUUACAAAACAUGGCCCCGUUUCCUGUAACACGGCACAGGUUGGACAAAUCUGUCAUUUGAGUAGUGUGUCUAUUCUGUGGCCAAUUCUGUAAUCUACAAGCAAUGUAAUCCUAAACAAGGAAUCUCAUGUUAGCAGCCAAGAUUGGAAAAUCCCUGGUUUAAGUGCAAUUGCUGCCAACACUUGCUAAGGACAAACUAAUUUUCAAUCUGCAGUUUGGGGGCUGUCUCUUUUCCUUUUUAGCUCUUUUUUUUUAAUAAAUAAAACAUACCUAACUUUCUAAGAUGACACAAAUGCACACUUGAUUUUAAAAAGUGGAAAACAGAUUUAGAAAAAAAGUUUAAGGUUAUGAAAAAUAUCACACUGUCUAUAAAAAAGAUUAUUCUAUUUUUUAAUACAAUUUGAACAAAUGUCAUUUUGCAAAUUUGAAGAGUUGUAUUUCAGAACAAACAGCAACAAGAUUGUUGUGUACAAAUAAGAGGAGAAGAGCAAGGGAGAAAGACAAGGGGGGGCGUGUUAUAGAAGACAGAUAGGAAGAUUGAGGAUGAUCUAGAUACAGCUUUAAAUGAGAACUUGACCUCAGUUUUCAAGAUGGAUCAGGGCGGUAUAAAUAAUGGCAAUGAGGAUAUGAGAUGAUGACAACUAAGACAGAAGCAAAACUCAAGAAAUUUAAUAUAUCCAGAUUGGCAGACACAGAAGUGAAAGAAAGGCAGAAGAAGCUACAGUAAGUAGUUAUGGUAAGUUUUCCAGGUCACAGAUGCUUCCAGCUGAUCAGAAAGAAUACAGUACAAGAAUAUAGUGCUGAUAUUUAAAGACAGAGCUCAGAGAAAUUACUCCAAAGAAUUAGAUUUACAUAUUUAAUGCUUUUGAAGAAAUCUUGAAAGGAAGGAGAGAGAAGGUUGAUGAGACAAAGGGGAAAGCGAGUGUAUAACAUAGACCAACUUGCCAAGUAUUGUGUGUACCCUAUUAAAUUACUUUUUUCUUCUAGAAUACUUAUCAAAGAAAGCUGAUGUAAGAGAUCGCUCAUGUUUGGACAUUAAUAAACCAUUUGACAUGGUGACACAGGAGAAACAUUACUCAAAAGAAGAUUAAAGAUUAGCAGAGAAACUAUAAAUUGCAGGAGAAGUUGAGCCAAGACAAAACGGAAAUUAGUGUUUUUGAGAAGUGAAGUUAUCAGGUUGGAGAAAAAUUACUAGCAGAAAUUGUCAAGAACAGCUAUGGGACAGAUCUUUAAGUAUUUUCAUUCACUAUCUUGAGACAAAAAUACAAAAUCUUUCAAUGAAUUAAGUUGAAAAGCAUUGCCAGCAGAAAGGAAUUUGGGGGCUGCUGUAUAUAAGGAACUGCCUAAACUUAAGAAAAAAAUGCAAGUGAGGGUGACCUUUCCAUAACGUAAAACGCAAUGUUAAAUGCACGAGACUAAUUGUAAGGGUUUAUUUUUACAAUCUGAUAGCUCAUUAAAAGCUGCAAAGGACUGAGAAGCAGUUGUGUGCCUGAGCUGGUCCUGCAAUAACUAUGAGCAUCAACGUGAUGCACCUACCAAAACAGUGAAUACGAUCUUACACUAUAUCACAAGAGGAGUCCUCGGCAGACACAAGGAAGUAUUCAUGCCGCUACGCAAGUGUCAACAGUAUCUCCUUCAGUAUAUUGGAAAUUUGAGUCUGUACACAUUACAGCAUCUCACACUUUGCCAGCCUACUGAUCUCAGGGGGUUGAUGGCUCAUCUUAGGAGGUGGACCAUCAAAUAGGAGGAGGAGGUUGCACUGUCAGAGCAAUCAAUGUCUGCAGUGGUUUCUCACUGAGACAUGUGUGAGCAAGAUUCAAGGCUCUAAGGGUGAGUUUGGUAAGGUUAGGACAGGGACUGCCCCAUGUUUCCCAUGACAGAGGGCUGUACAGGACAGGAACAGGAAUCCCAAUUUUCAAUGUGUUACUGACAUGGCAUCCUCUGAGCAUUUCAGUCAAGGUGCAAUUGUCAAUGUCUGCCCAGAAGGUCUGCCAGAAGGUCACCCUGGUCCUGCUCAGUUGGAUAAUGCAACACCCAUAAAGCUCAGUUUGAAUUCCCCAAGCUGCCUCAAUUCAUGACAUUUUUAUCUCUUAAAUAAAAAUAAGCCCAGUACACUUAAUUACACUGAAGAAAUCCCUUUUAGCAAAAAUACACGGCAAGCGUUGGACUCAGCUGUGCUAUCUCCCAGCACCUCUCUGCAUCUAUCGCCCUUCAUCUCUGUUGUGGCACAGCCUCGUCCAGACCAGUUCCCUCUGGGAAACACCAGUCCUGAAAGCUGGUGUGUGGGAGAUGGGUAUGGGAGUCUUGGGAAAAAUUUCCUGGCCUCCUAAAGAGCUUCUCUCAUCCCAUGGAUCUUCUCUAGCAGAGUGCAGGAGCUAAUAAUAUCCCUCUGCUUCUGUUAUAUAGCAUUUCCUCCUCUUUAUUUUAACUUUUACUGGUUGCAUUACCAGCUGCUCCUUUGCCUCUGCCACAUGACCAAGUGUCAAAAGAAGACAUAAAUCAGCUUAUGAUAUUCAUUGAAUGGUGAAAUUGGCACUUUCUCCCCUUCUGAAGGACUAGAAUUUUAAAUGCAGCUUCUAAAUAUACUUCAAGAUUUGAUAAUUUUAGUUAACAUUAAAAAGAUUUUUUAGAGACAACACAAAUCCAGCUUUCCUUGGAGAAAGCAUGUACUAUGAUUUCCUCAAGAGAGUCACAGCCACCAGUCGGCACGAGCAGGACAAACCCACAGAUCCCGACCGGGGAUCCACUGGGGACCACAGCCCCGGCCACAACAGGCAAAACCCUUCCCCAGCACUGUUGCACUCAUGAAGACAAGCUCUUUGGGGAGCUGGAGCUAAAGAAUAGGAUGGGCACAGGCAUACUGGGACCAAAACCCCGAGACAAAUCCUCCAUGUAUCUCACGUAUCUCACCCUGACAUCCCCACCCUUUUUUUUUUUUUUUUUUUUUUUUUUUAAGAGACAAAAACCAGCACAGCUCUCAGAUAUGGGAAGCAACCUCCUGUGUCCAGUGCAUCCCUGUCUGACCACGAAGACUGGAGCCAAGAAGCCUCAAGAAGAGACAACAACCGUCAGGGAAACGAGGAACUUCCAAACAACUCUAUUGUGAUCUGCUGUAUGUUUUUCUUUCAAGACUAUUUCUAAUAAAACACAUAAAGUAUCAAUA
This is a long non-coding RNA of Aquila chrysaetos chrysaetos, 4249 nucleotides long. RefSeq lists it as uncharacterized. The record is from RefSeq and is a predicted model, not a curated record. The transcript is spliced from 2 exons. NCBI's taxonomy places the organism in Eukaryota, Metazoa, Chordata, Aves, Accipitriformes, Accipitridae.